GAUGAACGCUGGCGGCGUGCCUAAUACAUGCAAGUCGAGCGAACAGACGAUGAGCUUGCUCCUCUGACGUUAGCGGCGGACGGGUGAGUAACACGUGGAUAACCUACUUAUAAGACUGGGAUAACUUCGGGAAACCGGAGCUAAUACCGGAUAAUAUAUUGAACCGCAUGGUUCAAUAGUGAAAGACGGUUUUGCUGUCACUUAUAGAUGGAUCCGCGCCGCAUUAGCUAGUUGGUAAGGUAACGGCUUACCAAGGCGACGAUGCGUAGCCGACCUGAGAGGGUGAUCGGCCACACUGGAACUGAGACACGGUCCAGACUCCUACGGGAGGCAGCAGUAGGGAAUCUUCCGCAAUGGGCGAAAGCCUGACGGAGCAACGCCGCGUGAGUGAUGAAGGUCUUCGGAUCGUAAAACUCUGUUAUUAGGGAAGAACAAAUGUGUAAGUAACUAUGCACGUCUUGACGGUACCUAAUCAGAAAGCCACGGCUAACUACGUG
RNAcentral lists this ribosomal RNA (497 nucleotides) under uncultured bacterium. RNAcentral's name for it is "partial 16S ribosomal RNA". It matches the Rfam family "Bacterial small subunit ribosomal RNA", at positions 28 to 507 of the family's 1533-position model. The record is from RNAcentral.